Molecule: non-coding RNA, 575 nt
Organism: Nothobranchius furzeri (turquoise killifish)
Lineage: Eukaryota; Metazoa; Chordata; Actinopteri; Cyprinodontiformes; Nothobranchiidae
Source: RefSeq, a predicted model, not a curated record
UGUCUCAAUUCAGGGUCUGCAUCCUACCUCGGCCGGAUUCGUCGGCCGGUUACGUCACAGCGCCGCGACUCGGCCUGUCCCAAUUCGAAGACUCCUUCAAAUGCGGUCGACGAAUGCGGCCUUCUUUUCGCCUGAAUGAAGGAUGGGUCGGGUGUAUCCUUCAAUAGGUAGCAUUUCCCAAGAUGCCUUGCGGGCCGGCCGGCAGAAAAACUUAAAAACAAUGGCGGACAGUGAAGCGGGAGCUGUCGGAGAGGAUUGCGCAUAUAAAUGACCAAAAGAGAAAACCAGGGAAUUUAUUAAGCUUAGGGCGGAGAUGGACCACAUGAUCACCGGAGCAAAGUAUUCGGCGGCUGUGGCAUGGAGACUAUUCUGGAGAAAAUGGGCAUCCAGGGGAAGGUGCCAGCGAUGAGCUUCUGGAGCUGAUCUGGGAGGACAUGAGGCUGCAGAGCAGCAGAGAGCACAGGAGAGAAGGAAGAACUUUGACAGCUUUUUACUUUGCUAGAAAAAAAUGGUUAAUGAAGAUUAAACAUGUACAUAUAAAAGAAAUAUCUAAAUAAAAUCAGUUCUGCAUUAAA